Molecule: long non-coding RNA, 549 nt
Organism: Balaenoptera acutorostrata (minke whale)
Lineage: Eukaryota; Metazoa; Chordata; Mammalia; Artiodactyla; Balaenopteridae
Exons: 3
Source: RefSeq, a predicted model, not a curated record
AUUUGGGAGCUACCUAGUGGGUCAGUACAGCAUGUUUCCAAGGGCUAUGGCUUGUUGUGGCCAUGGGAUCUCCAACUGCAUGCAAGAGCAACUUGGAGAGACUUUGACAGCGCAGGUCAGCAUAAUACCUGCAGCUGCCACUCGCCUUUCCUAUAGUAUCCCAGGACCUGGGCUGGAAGCCUUCCACCUGAGUCCAUGUGUUUCCAUCAAAAAAGUCAACUUCCGUAUAUGGAUCAACUUUUUGGUUUAGAGCUUGCACACUUUUUUUCUGCAGGUUGCCCCAGGUUUUACUGGCAGUGCCUGAUACUGAGGUAUCUGAAAAUACCAGCUUGUUGCUGGAGCCGUGCUUUAGAAUAAGAUCUGUUACCAGUAAAGCUGUCGUCUUCUGUGAUUGGGAUCUACAGAGUUGGGAGAGAAACACUACAGGAAGACGCAAAUGAAGAGACAAGGGGCUCUUUUAGGUGGAAACACCUUUUUUUCUUUCUGAUGCUGGUACCUGGCAUACAAGUGACCAAUAAAAGAUUCCUAGGGCUUCCCUGGUGGCACAGU